CUUAUAUAGUUUUAAAUAAAACACUAGACUGUGGCUCUAAAAACAGGGGUUCAAACCCCCUUAUAAACC
This 69-nucleotide transfer RNA is filed under the name Lissemys scutata (Burmese flap-shelled turtle). RNAcentral's name for it is "transfer RNA-His". It matches the Rfam family "tRNA". From Rfam's summary of the family: Transfer RNA (tRNA) molecules are approximately 80 nucleotides in length. Their secondary structure includes four short double-helical elements and three loops (D, anti-codon, and T loops). Lineage: Eukaryota; Metazoa; Chordata; Testudines; Trionychidae. The record is from RNAcentral.